RNAcentral lists this non-coding RNA (27 nucleotides) under Rattus norvegicus (Norway rat). Lineage: Eukaryota; Metazoa; Chordata; Mammalia; Rodentia; Muridae. The record is from RNAcentral.
UGGACAUUUAUCUGUGACCAGGCGGCU